GUAUGGUUUACCAUUGAUGCUUUAUGCAUUUAUUUGAAAGUUUGCUACUUUGUUCUUUGUGUGAUGAACUGAUGAUGAUGCAUUAUGCGAUUUACAGUUGCUUGAAUUCUUAAGAGUUUGCAAUGUAGGUCUGAUUGUUGGCAUGUUGCAUUAGUGUUAUUGUAGGAUCAAUAUGUGGAUACUCCUGGUUCUUAUUUGACUCUAAACAAGCCUAGAAUAGAACAAGCCGAUGUUAAAUCAAACCAGAAAUUCAGAUUUAGUUGAAUCCACUGUUAGUAUACUUUAUAUAUUGUUCACUUCUUCAGCUUCAAUACACAUGUUAGUUAAUAUAGACUCAGUUGCUUCUAUAUAAGCUAACGUGUAUUGAAGCUGAAGAAGUGAACAAUAUGUAAGUUUACUACAGAACACUUUCUGAAAUGUACUUGUUUCUAAUACAUAUAUAUUCUUCAUUUGAUGCAUAAAACUUACUAUCUAGUAUAACAUGCAAAAGCAUUAUCUUAUACUUUCAAGUUUUUGGCCCUAAAUUAAUCAAUUUGACUGCUUUAUUAAGUUAACUUUGUUGACUACCGGUGAUAUGUCUAUAAACUCUCCAGAGGGCUGUACAUGUUGCCUUUGUACUCUAGGGACCCAAGAGCUGUAUAUGUAGAAUCACAUCUAGAAUCGCAGUGAGGUUAGCGGUUAGCUCUUGGGUCUUUUUCAUAUGAUCCAGCUUGAAGAUUGUCUUACAGGUUCUGAUUCACUGUGUUGGCUCGAACUCUUUUCCUUUUAAAAAGUCAUGAGUCAGCUCUUAGGUCUUUUCAUAUGAUCCAGCUUGAAGACUGUCUUGAAGUUUCUGAGAUACUGUGGUGACUUGUUCUCUUUCAUGCCUGCAUCGAAAUUUCUUAACUGUAUUGUUAACAAACAGGCCUAGUCUCUUCUUAACCAUAAUCUCGACCACUAUUUCUAUCUUGUAUGCCAAUAGUGUCCCUUUGGUCGACCUUGAGUAUAAUCAUCACUAAUUCCAGGUAGUCCUAUGUCUAAAGAGUUGAGGAUUAGUUCUCCUUCCCUGAAAAUGUCGUAAAGGUUUGUAACUUUGUACAGACUUUAUACAUUCAUCUUCCAUAUAAAUUUUGAGGAUGAGUUCUCCCUGCAAUUUUACUUUGAGA
Long non-coding RNA from Rosa chinensis, 1145 nucleotides. RefSeq lists it as uncharacterized. Lineage: Eukaryota; Viridiplantae; Streptophyta; Magnoliopsida; Rosales; Rosaceae. The transcript is spliced from 2 exons. The record is from RefSeq and is a predicted model, not a curated record.